This 70-nucleotide transfer RNA is filed under the name Marmota marmota marmota (Alpine marmot). It matches the Rfam family "tRNA". From Rfam's summary of the family: Transfer RNA (tRNA) molecules are approximately 80 nucleotides in length. The record is from Rfam by way of RNAcentral. RNAcentral also lists the same sequence under 1 other name. Lineage: Eukaryota; Metazoa; Chordata; Mammalia; Rodentia; Sciuridae.
GGGACUGUGGCUCAGUGGUAGAGCACUCACCUAGCCCAUGUGAGGCCCUGGGUUUGAUCCUCAGCACCCA